CCUACGGGUGGCAGCAGUGAGGAAUAUUGGUCAAUGGGCGCUAGCCUGAACCAGCCAAGUAGCGUGAAGGAUGACUGCCCUACGGGUUGUAAACUUCUUUUAUAAGGGAAUAAAGUGCAGUACGUGUACUUCUUUGCAUGUACCUUAUGAAUAAGGAUCGGCUAACUCCGUGCCAGCAGCCGCGGUAAUCCGGAGGAUCCGAGCGUUAUCCGGAUUUAUUGGGUUUAAAGGGAGCGUAGACGGGUUGUUAAGUCAGUUGUGAAAGUUUGCGGCUCAACCGUAAAAUUGCAGUUGAUACUGGCAGGCUGGAGUACAGUAGAGGUAGGCGGAAUUCGUGGUGUAGCGGUGAAAUGCUUAGAUAUCACGAAGAACUCCGAUUGCGAAGGCAGCUUGCUGAACUGUAACUGACGUUGAUGCUCGAAAGUGUGGGUAUCAAACAGGAUUAGAUACCCGGGUAGUC
RNAcentral lists this ribosomal RNA (460 nucleotides) under uncultured bacterium. RNAcentral describes it as "partial 16S ribosomal RNA". It matches the Rfam family "Bacterial small subunit ribosomal RNA", at positions 338 to 795 of the family's 1533-position model. The record is from RNAcentral.